UACGAAGGGGGGCUAGCGUUGCUCGGAAUCACUGGGCGUAAAGGGUGCGUAGGCGGGUCUUUAAGUCAGAGGUGAAAUCCUGGAGCUCAACUCCAGAACUGCCUUUGAUACUGAGGAUCUUGAGUAUGGGAGAGGUGAGUGGAACUGCGAGUGUAGAGGUGAAAUUCGUAGAUAUUCGCAAGAACACCAGUGGCGAAGGCGGCUCACUGGCCCAUUACUGACGCUGAGGCACGAAAGCGUGGGGAGCAAACAGG
RNAcentral lists this ribosomal RNA (254 nucleotides) under uncultured bacterium. RNAcentral describes it as "partial 16S ribosomal RNA". It matches the Rfam family "Bacterial small subunit ribosomal RNA", at positions 524 to 776 of the family's 1533-position model. The record is from RNAcentral.